UGCAUUCCGAAUAAGCAGAUC
Molecule: non-coding RNA, 21 nt
Organism: Caenorhabditis elegans
Lineage: Eukaryota; Metazoa; Nematoda; Chromadorea; Rhabditida; Rhabditidae
Source: Ensembl